This is a non-coding RNA of Babesia bovis T2Bo, 84 nucleotides long. The record is from the annotation of a RefSeq genome assembly. NCBI's taxonomy places the organism in Eukaryota, Apicomplexa, Aconoidasida, Piroplasmida, Babesiidae.
AAAAGUAUAGUUUAACAAUAAAUAAAAACAAUUUUGUAAAUUUAUUUUACAAAAUAAAUAAUAGUGAAAGUCUAUUUACUUUUU